RNAcentral lists this ribosomal RNA (253 nucleotides) under uncultured bacterium. Its description in RNAcentral is "partial 16S ribosomal RNA". It matches the Rfam family "Bacterial small subunit ribosomal RNA", at positions 524 to 776 of the family's 1533-position model. The record is from RNAcentral.
GACGGAGGGUGCUAGCGUUGUCCGGAAUCACUGGGCGUAAAGGGCGCGUAGGCGGCCUCAGGUGUCGGAUGUGAAAGCCCGGGGCUCAACCCCGGAGGUGCAUCCGAAACUCUGGGGCUGGAGGUCGGAAGAGGAGGGUGGAAUACCCAGUGUAGAGGUGAAAUUCGUAGAUAUUGGGUGGAACACCGGUGGCGAAAGCGGCUCUCUGGUCCGGACCUGACGCUGAGGCGCGAAAGCGUGGGGAGCAAACAGG